AGUGAACGCUGGCGGUAGGCCUAACACAUGCAAGUCGAACGGCAGCACAGUAAGAGCUUGCUCUUACGGGUGGCGAGUGGCGGACGGGUGAGGAAUACAUCGGAAUCUACUUUUUCGUGGGGGAUAACGUAGGGAAACUUACGCUAAUACCGCAUACGACCUACGGGUGAAAGCAGGGGAUCUUCGGACCUUGUGCGAUUGAAUGAGCCGAUGUCGGAUUAGCUAGUUGGCGGGGUAAAGGCCCACCAAGGCGACGAUCCGUAGCUGGUCUGAGAGGAUGGUCGGCGACACUGGAACUGGGACAGGGUCCAGACUCCUACGGGAGGCAGCAGUGGGGAAUAUUGGACAAAGGGCGCAAGCCUGAUCCAGCCAUACCGCGUGGGUGAAGAAGGCCUUCGGGUUGUAAAGCCCUUUUGUUGGGAAAGAAAAGCAGCAGGUUAAUACCCCGCUGUUCUGACGGUACCCAAAGAAUAAGCACCGGCUAACUUCGUG
This 492-nucleotide ribosomal RNA is filed under the name uncultured bacterium. Its description in RNAcentral is "partial 16S ribosomal RNA". It matches the Rfam family "Bacterial small subunit ribosomal RNA", at positions 29 to 507 of the family's 1533-position model. The record is from RNAcentral.